RNAcentral lists this ribosomal RNA (593 nucleotides) under Mesobacillus thioparans. Its description in RNAcentral is "bacterial SSU rRNA". It matches the Rfam family "Bacterial small subunit ribosomal RNA", at positions 69 to 644 of the family's 1533-position model. Lineage: Bacteria; Bacillati; Bacillota; Bacilli; Caryophanales; Bacillaceae. The record is from RNAcentral.
AUCUUCAUUAGCUUGCUUUUGAAGAUCAGCGGCGGACGGGUGAGUAACACGUGGGCAACCUGCCUGUAAGACUGGGAUAACUUCGGGAAACCGGAGCUAUACCGGAUAAUCCUUUUCCUCACAUGAGGGAAAGCUGAAAGACGGUUUCGGCUGUCACUUACAGAUGGGCCCGCGGCGCAUUAGCUAGUUGGUGAGGUAACGGCUCACCAAGGCAACGAUGCGUAGCCGACCUGAGAGGGUGAUCGGCCACACUGGGACUGAGACACGGCCCAGACUCCUACGGGAGGCAGCAGUAGGGAAUCUUCCGCAAUGGACGAAAGUCCUGACGGAGCAACGCCCGCGUGAGCGAUGAAGGCCUUUCGGGUCGUAAAGCUCUGUUGUCAGGGAAGAACAAGUAUCGGAGUAACUGCCGGUACCUUGACGGUACCUGACCAGAAAGCCACGGCUAACUACGUGCCAGCAGCCGCGGUAAUACGUAGGUGGCAAGCGUUGUCCGGAAUUAUUGGGCGUAAAGCGCGCGCAGGCGGUUCCUUAAGUCUGAUGUGAAAGCCCCCGGCUCAACCGGGGAGGGUCAUUGGAAACUGGGGAACUUG